GCCACCACGCUUGGCUAACUUUUGUAUUUUUAGUAGACCAGGCUGGUCUCAAACUCCUGACCUCAGGUGAUCCACCUUCCUUCGCCUCCCAAAGUACUAGUAUUACAGGUGUGAGCCACCAUGCCUGGCUCAUUAAUUUGAAUUGAAUUCCAUUUUGCUAGAAACAUCUUUCUGCUAUUAGAAGGAUGUGAUCACCAUUUUUUAGGAUCAUCAUCCAAAAAGCAUAAUAAAGCCCCAGAGAUUUUUUCACAUUCAAUUGCAGCUUUUAUAAAUGCAUUUUUCUUCUCAUAGUAAUGGACACAUUGGAGUUGCAUUUGGCUUUUUGAGUUAUACAUUUGUUACAAAUAAUUCUUUUCUUGUUCUUGCUUUGAUCAAUAAUUCAGUAUUCUUUUAAUGAAGAAUAUGAAGUUGUAGGGAUUUCAUCUGAUCUUUUCAAAUUAUGGGUUUGAAGAUAUUUUUGUUCAUUUUCAUAUGAUUAGUAAUUAAAUCUUAUUAGGUAAGGAAUUUGUACAAGUCCUGUACGCAAAUUUUAUGUGAGUCAUGCUCAGCAGACAUCAGUUCACUUUCAUUGUUUCCAGUUUUUAGAAAUUUAGGCAAACUGCUUUCUAUUUUCUCUUCUUUCAGGCUUUUUGUUCUCUGAGCUUCACAUCUGUAUUUUCUUUUCUUUUCUUUCUUUUUUUUUUUUGAGACAGUUUCACUCUGUUGCCAAGGAUGGAGUGAAGUGGGCAAUCUUGGCUCACUGCAACCUCUGCCGCCCGAGUUCAAGCAAAUUUCCUGCCUCAGUCUCCCAAGUAGCUGGGACUAUAGGCAUGUGCCACCAUGCCCAGCUAAUUGUUUUUGUAUUAUUAGUAGAGAUGGGGUUUCACUAUGUUGUCCAGGUCGAUCUCAAACUCCUGACCUCAAGUGAUCUGCCCACCUCGGCCUCCCAAAGUGCUUGGAUUACAGGCGAGAGCCACUGUUCCCGGUCCACUUCCGAUCUUGAUUUAUACUUAAGUAUAAAUUAUUUAUUUAUACUUACUAAAUUAUACUUAUUUUUAAAUAAUUAUUAAAUAUUUUAAAUAAAUAUUAAAUUAUUUAAAAUUAUUUAAAUAAAGCUGAAUUCAUAUUUAAAUGUAAGGAAAUAUUAAUUUUUGUAAAAAUUCAUAAUUCUAGCAUUGUCAAUUUGGUUGUCAUUGUAUUUGUCCAUGUAGUUGCCAAUUUAUACUGUUUCAUGAAUGUUGUCUCUAUAUCUGACUAUAUAGAAAUAUAAGAAUAAUAACAAUUAUUUAAUGUUACAAAAUAUUCAGCUGUCACUUGCAGCUGUUGUGAAUACCAGAAGCAUGCAUCACUGACAAAUGGUACCCUGUUAUACAAGAAUCUAUUGCGUUUGUGCUGAGAAGAUUUGACAAGUUCAUUAAUUUGUCUUUUUUUUAUUAAUGCCUUUUCCUCCCCGAGCUCUGAAGCAGCGGGAGGAAGUCUAGCUCUAUGUUAGCAGUGGCACAACUCACAAAUCUUCAUGGCAUUCCAAUUCAUCCCCCCCCCCACUUUUUUUAAUUUCAAGGACAUAUAGGGCUAGAGUGUAAAGAAGGAAUUUCUUGGACCCUGAAACAGUGUAAGUCAUGAGAACAGAUGGAUGGGGUAUACGGGUUGUGCCAUGCCAGCACUAAGGGGCAAAUAUCAAGUUGCAGAUAUCCAUACAUUCCUUUUUUUUUAAAGAUGGGGUUUCACCAUGAUGUCCAGGCUUGUCUUGAACUCCUGACCUCAGGUGAUCCACCCACCUUGGCCUCCCAAAGUGCUGAGAUUACAGGCAUGAGCCACCGCGCCCAGCCAUACAUUUCUUAAUAUACAAAUGUGUUGUGUUUGUUCUAUGUGAGGUCCUCCAAAGCUCAAGUUCCCUGCUUGCCUGGGUUAAAGAUGGCGGUCACUUUGGAUAUUGUCUUAGGAACUAGUGAAAGAUCUCUGGAGAGUGGUAUCUUCAGCAGAAUAGAAAGGGGAAAGGAGCCACCUAGGCGAGAUUUGGGAGACAGAGCAGAGGCAGAUUUACCAUGAGGCAAAUGAAGCUUAAGUUUCAAGCUCCCUCCUUUGUACAGAUUGCUCCAAGGUUCUGGCUCUUUCUUGAUUUUGUGUUCUUUUUUUUGAAGAUGUCCCCAACUCAUAAAAGUGAAGUUUGAAAAACUUAAGGGAGGAUAUCAGAGCCCAAACCAGACAGGUUCAGGGUAGCUCAGGGCAGGGUCCUCUUCUAGCAGUGUCCUGGAAUACUCAACAGGAACCAAAGGCAUAUGAGCUGGGAGUAGAAGGUCUGGGCCAAUCCAAUAGGGUUUUAGAGUGACUUCUGCAACUGCAGCGGUGAGGCGGGGUGUGGUGGCUCACACCCGUAGUCCCAGCACUCUGGGAGACUAAGGUGGGUGGAUGCCUUGAGUCUAGUUUUGUCAUGGGCAACAUGAAAAAUCUUAUUUCUACAAAAAUUCGAGGGCCACGGUGCCUCUGGCCAGUUGUCCUGGUGCUUGAGGAGGCGAGGCCAUGAGUUCAAGGCCAACCUGAGCAAUGUCACAUGCUCUCAUUGAUUAACAAAAAAAAAAAUUUUGCCAGGCACAGUGGCUCAAGCCUGUAAUCCCAGCACUUUGGGAGGCCGAGGCGGGUGGAUCACGAGGUCAAGAGAUCGAAAAUAUCCUGGUCAACAUGGUGAAACCCCAUCUCUACUAAAAAUACAAAAAAUUAGCUGGGCAUGGUGGCACGUGCCUGUAAUCCCAGCUACUCAGGAGGCUGAGGCAGGAGAAUUGCCUGAACCCAGGAGGCGGAGGUUGCAGUGAGCCGAGAUCGCGCCAUUGCACUCCAGCCUGGGUAACAGAGUGAGACUAUCUCAAAAAAGCAAAAAAAAAAAAUUAGUCGGGUGUGGUGCCAUGUAACUGUAAUCCCAACUACUCAGGAGGCUGAAGUGGGAGGAUUGCUUGAGCCCAGGAGGCAGAGGUUGUAGUGAGCUGGGAUCACACCAGUGCACUCUAGACUGGGUAACAGAGUGAGACUAUCUCAAAAAAGCAAAAAGAAAAAUAAGAAACUGCAGUAGUGAGAUUCAUCUAGAGCAGCCCUGAUCAACAGAAAUAUAAUGCAAGUUACAUGUAUGAUUCUGAAUUUUCUAGUGGCCACGUUUAAAUAAGUAAAAACAAACAGAUGAAAGUAAUUUUAAUAUUUUAUUAAACUCCUUGUAUCUAACAUAUUAACUAAGUCCUUAAAAUCUGUUUGUUUUGUUUGAGACAGAGUCUUGUUCUGUCAUCCAGGCUGGAGUGUAGUGGCGUGAUCCUGGCUCACUGCAACCUCCGCCUCCUGGGUGCGAGCAAUUCUCCUGCCUCAGCCUCCUGAGUAGCUGGGAUUACAGGCACCCGCCACCAUGUCCAGCUAAUUUUUGUAUUUUAGUAGAGAUGGGGUUUCUGCAUGUUGGUCAGGCUGGUCUCAAACCCCUGACCCCAAGUGAUCCACCCACCUCGGCCUCCCAAAAUGCUGGGAUUAUAGACGUGAGCCACCACACCAGGCCUGGUGUGUAUUUUAUACUUACAGCACAUCUCAAUUCAUAUUAACCCCGUUUCAACCGCUCAAUUGCUAUGUGUGGCAGGUGGCUACCAUACUGGGAAUAUGGCUCCACCUCUGCUUCUACCUUCCCAUCAGUGCAAGCUGGGAUGCUGGUAGAAUGAAUCACCCUGAACUUGGUGGCAUAAAAUGGCACACAUUUAUUCUCUUACAGUUUUGAAGAUCAGAAAUCCAAAAUGGGUCUCACAGGGGCUAAAAUAAAGAUGGUGAUCAAGCUAUCUUUCUCCUGGAGACUCUGUUCCUUGCCUUUUUCAGCUUCCAGAGGCUGCCCACAUUCCUUGGCUCGUGGCUCCACACUGCUUUGACUUCUGCUUCCAUAGUCACAUCUCCUCUGACUCUGACCCUCCUGUGAGGACCUCUAUGUUUACAGUGAGCCCAUACAGAUAAUCCAGGAUCAUCACCCCAUAGCUCAAGAUCCUUACCUUGAUGACACCUGUAUGGUGUAAGGUAGCAUACUCACAGGUUCUGGGGAUUGAGAUCUUUGGCGGGGGCCAUGAUUUGGCCUUCAAUAAGUGCUUAGAAGGGGCUAGGGUCACAGAGGAAGAGUGCUCAGGCCUGUAGGCGAAAUAGGGCUAGGGAAAAAGGAAUUACUCCAUUUUGUCCAGAGUUAAGAGUUGAAUGAGCUGAAAUUCCAUAGGAGAAAACUAGGAGAAGCUGAAGGUGUUGAGUCUAAGGGGGACCUAUGGUUUGAAUAUUUGUCUCCCCCAAAACUUGUGUUGAAAUCUAAUUCCUAAUGUGGCCGUGUUGAGAGGCAGCACAUUUGAGAGGUGAUUGGGUCAUGAGGGCAGAACCCUCAUGAAUGGAUUAGAGCAUUCAUGGAUUAAAGGGUUAAUGGACUCAUGGAUUAAUGAGGUAUCUCAGGAGCAGGACUGAUGGCUUUACAAGAAGAAAAAGAGAGACUUCUGCUAGCACACUCAGCACCUUGCCCUGUGAUGCCCUGAGCUGCCUCAGGACGCUCCAGAGAGACCCCACCAGUAAGAUGGCCGUCUGCAGAUGCAAACCCUUGAUGCGGGAUUUCUCAGCUUCCAUAAUUAUAAGAAAUACAUUUCUUUUGUUUAUAAAUUACCCAGUUUCAGGUGUUCUGUUAUAAAGCACUGAAAAUGAACUAAGAUAAGAGAAAACCUGGCCAAGGCCCAUCCGAACCAAGCAGCAGUGUUCCUAUUCUAUUUAUUUAUUGCUAUUUAGGAAACAUUAAAAAUAUAUACAUAUAUUUAUAUAUAUAUACACAUUUUUUUGAGACACAGUCUAGUUCUUUCACCCAGGCUGGAGUGCAAUGUCAGGAUCUUGGCUCACUGCAACCGCCUCCUCCCAGGUUCAAGCUAUUCUCCUGUCUCAGCCUCUCGAGUAGCUGGGAUUACAGGCAUGCACCACCACGCCCAGCUAAUUUUUGUAUUUUUAGUAGAGACAGAGUUUCACCAUGUUGGCCAGUCAGGUCUCAAAUUCCUGGUCUCAAGUGGUCCGCCCACCUUGGCCUCUCAGAGGGCUGGGAUUACAGGUAUGAGCCACCGCAUCCAGACCAAAGGUCAUAUUUAUUUCAUGCAGUUUCAGGCCCAUACCAUCCACACUAUCCUGUGCCACACAUGCCCAUAACCUCAGUGCGCAAGUCAGCGGCAGAACUCUCAAGAUGAGCUUAGUGUAGAGAGGAUCGUUUAAACGUUAAAAUAUUCACGGGAUGAAAAAAAUAGGUAUAUUGCAUUUUACCAAAGGAAAACCAGUAAAAUGGGACUGCAUACUUCUGACCAAGGACUCAGCGCUAAAUAAGACAAAAAUACAUCUUUUUUUUUUUUUUUUGAGACGGAGUUUUGCUCUUGUUACCCAGACUGGAGUGCAAUGGCACGAUCUCGGCUCAUGGCAACCUCCGCCUGCUGGGUUCAGGCAAUUCUCCUGCCUCAGCCUCCUGAGUAUCUGGGAUUACAGGCAUGCGCUACGAUGCCCAGCUAAUUUUUUGUAUUUUUAGUAGAGACGGGGUUUCACCAUGUUGACCAGGAUGGUCUCGAUCUCUUGACCUCGUGAUCCAUCUGCCUUGGCCUCCCAAAGUGCUGGGAUUACAGGCAUGAGCCACUGCACCCCGCCAAAAAUACAUCUUAAAAUAUUAUAAAAUCUGUAAUCACCUAACACAAUAAACGUGUGCCACUCCAACUUCCAUAAAAUGGGCUUUGUAUCACUCUACACAGUGAUUACACAGGGAGUCCAGUGAACUGUAGAGCACAUAAAAGUACCAUUGGAUCAUACACUUGAAUCCAAGCCUAAUUUGAUGGCUGUCAUGUGGUCAAUUACAAUCUUGCUGAACUUGUUAGACCUUAGCAUGGCUCAGAGGAGACGAUUUAACGAUCCAAAAUGUCUCACAGAUGCCUUUAUUUUCUCUCGAUCUGUUUCCCUGGAGAGCAAGCAGAGGUAUUUAAAACAAUUUCCAAAAAUGAAUCAGUACAUUGGGUGCUUAAUGUGCUAUUGGUAAUGACAGUCCUUCUAGCCAACUGGGUCCAGAGUACUGAGGAAACAGGUCACAUGGGAGGGGUGGAUGCCUGGCAUGUGACACACCCACCCACUGGGUGGGACAUGCCCUGGGAGGGAAGCCCAUGAGUGUGGGUGCCAGGUAUGGCAGACAGAACUCGGAACUUGGGGUGCAAGAAGCUGAUAAUUAACUUUUUUUUUUUUUUGAGAUGGAUUCUCACUCUGUUGCCCAGGCUGGAGUGCAGUGGUUUAAUCUCGGCUCACUGCAACCUCCGCCUCCCAGGGUUCAAGUGAUUUUCCUGCCUCAGCCUCCCAAGUAGCUGAGACUACAGGCGUGUGCCACCACACCUGGCUAAUUUUUUGUAUUUUUAAUGGAGAUGGGGGUUCACCAUGUUAGCCAGGAUGGUCUCAAUCUCCUGACCUCGUGAUCCGCCUGCCUUAGCUUCCCAAAGUGCUGGGAUUACAGGCGUGAUAAUUAACCAUUUUAUAGUAAAAUGGGAGGCCUCAGAGUGAUCUGGUAUAACAAGAGGUGGACAGAGGGUUGCAACAGAUCAGGUAUUUAAUGAACACCCUUGGCAUUCUUGGAUACAAGUCACCAUUUAAAAUAUUUUGGAGUGACCCCAGAGAUCCAUGACCUGUAGUCAUUUGUCAUUUUGCCAGGACAAGGAUCUUAAACACCUGAGGACCUAAGAGCCACCUGAGUGGAUGGCUGGCAUCCCAUCUCACCAUAACUUUGUGGUUCUUUUUUUUUUUAAUGAAUGAGAGGUUCUUACAUUGCCCAGGUUGGCCUAUGAACUCAUAGCCUUGCCUCUCAAGCAGCAGGACAACUGGCCUGAGCAACCGUGGCUCCUGACUUUGUGGUUCUUUGUUCAUGGCUGGGGAUGCAGAAGUUUUCCUUUGGUAAUUAAAAAAAUAAAAACAACCACAAUGGGUUUUUCUUUGGAAAAAAAAAAAAAAAAAAGGCAGCUGCUUCUUACUGGUAUUAAACUGAAGAGAAAUUCAGCCAGAAAAUGAAAUAUAACUGAAUGUGAAACUCAGCUGUGCUGGACUAGACAGGAUUAGCACUUGUGUUCUCUUCCCUUCCUCCCUGCCUGCUCUUUCUCUCUUUUUCCCUCUCUUUCUCUCUUUUUUUCUUCCUUCUCUUUUAUUUUUCAUUCUUUCUCUUUCUCUUUCCCUCCCUCCCUCCCUCCUUCCCUUCCUUUCUUCCAUCCUUCCUCUCUUUCCCUUUCUCUCUCUCUCUCUCUCUCUCUUUCUUUCUUUCUUUCUUUCCCAGAGUCUCCCUCUGUCACCCAAGCUGGAACGCAAUGGUGUGAACACUACAGCCUCUAACUCUUGCCUCGGCAUGCCAAAGUGCUGGAUUACUGGAGUGAGCCACUGCCCCGGCCCCCGCUUAUACUCUAUACAAAAGAGUAUAAGACAUUGAAGAAGCUGUUUGAAUAUAACCCAAAAAAAUGGUCAUCAAAAGAGAGUUACACUUUAGGGAAACUUGAAAAGGAGUUUAAUAAGCUACGUGAGGCUAUGCACACGAAACAGCGAGCCUUUGAUUCUGGAGAACAAGAGGCAUGUGCAUAAACAACACAGAGAUUCAAAAAGGCUUGGGAAAGUGUUGCUCAAGCAUGUCAUGGGUUGGCUGUAAUCAGAAAUCAAGCUUGUGGGAGCUGUUGUUGGGAAAGCCCGUCAGCAGGUUCAAAAAGGUCCUGAGAAGUCCUGCAAAGAAACGUCUCAAAAUUGGGUAAACCCUGCAUUCCAAACUGACUUCAUCAUGGAAUCCCUUUCCAAAUAAUACUUUUAAGCCUUCUGAAGAACUACUUUUUAAAAAAGUAUGAUUAUUAUUUUUUCUCUCCUCCCCUUCCCUGAAGAACUACUUUUUAUAAAGAACACACUUUGGUAAAUGAUGGUCUAAUGAAAGAAGUCAUGAAAACUGGAUAACCCCAGGAUUUUCUCAAGAGUCUGCUCUCUCAUUCACAAUGUUCUGUGGAAGCUAAGCUGGGUGGAAUAAGGCUCUAUUUGGCUUUUUCUUUUUCUAUUCUUCAGUCUGUAACAAUAACUCCCUGUGGGUUAAUGUUGGCAUCUAAAAGAAAGAAAAAUAUGCACAUUAGGUCUCAUGAGGCUACUCAGUAUGUCUGUUCCUCAGGAAAGGGUAACAGCUGGUCGCAGUGGGAGAUUGUCCUUGCAGUUCCUAUCAAUAUCUUUUAACCAAUGUUGAGAUCACAUUUCUUCUGUUUCUAUUUCCCUUCCUGCUAAACCCCAGGCCAUCAGCUCUCAUGCCCUGUGUUUUUCCCUACAUUAUACAGGAUCACAAGUGUUUAUCAAAAGCUGUCCUUUCCCUGUUCUGUAUUAUGUACAAAGGCUAAAAAUUUGACAGAGUACAACUAAAUAAAUGGAAAUGUAAAAGCCCCAUA
Molecule: non-coding RNA, 8414 nt
Organism: Callithrix jacchus (white-tufted-ear marmoset)
Lineage: Eukaryota; Metazoa; Chordata; Mammalia; Primates; Cebidae
Source: RefSeq, a predicted model, not a curated record